Molecule: transfer RNA, 75 nt
Filed under: Candidatus Pacearchaeota archaeon
Lineage: Archaea; Nanobdellati
Description: tRNA-Arg
Rfam family: tRNA
About the family: Transfer RNA (tRNA) molecules are approximately 80 nucleotides in length. Their secondary structure includes four short double-helical elements and three loops (D, anti-codon, and T loops).
Source: RNAcentral
GCCCGGGUAGCUCAGUUUGGAUAGAGCACGGCACUCCUAAUGCCGGGGUCGCAGGUUCAAGUCCUGUCUCGGGCG